Molecule: ribosomal RNA, 93 nt
Filed under: Pseudoduganella lurida
Lineage: Bacteria; Pseudomonadati; Pseudomonadota; Betaproteobacteria; Burkholderiales; Oxalobacteraceae
Description: Massilia lurida partial 23S ribosomal RNA
Rfam family: Bacterial large subunit ribosomal RNA
Source: RNAcentral
GGGUCGUUCGAGACCAGGACGUUGAUAGGUCAGGUGUGGAAGUGCAGUAAUGCAUUAAGCUAACUGAUACUAAUUGCCCGUAAGGCUUGUCCC